AAAAGUACAUGGCAGGGGAGACACCAGGAUCAUGAAGGUAGUUUUCCCAGGGUGAGGUUCAGCGAUUGCACUCCGGGUGUGCUGACCCCUGCGAUUUCCCCAAAUGUGGGAAACUCAACUGCAUAAUUUGUGGUAGUGGAGGACUGCGUUCGCNCUUUCCCCUG
Molecule: small nuclear RNA, 164 nt
Filed under: Salvator merianae (Argentine black and white tegu)
Lineage: Eukaryota; Metazoa; Chordata; Lepidosauria; Squamata; Teiidae
Description: U1 spliceosomal RNA (ENSSMRG00000018845.1)
Rfam family: U1 spliceosomal RNA
About the family: U1 is a small nuclear RNA (snRNA) component of the spliceosome (involved in pre-mRNA splicing).
Source: RNAcentral